UCUAUAAGCUCUCAUUUUUACCUAGAAACUCUGCUAAAAUUUUUGUUCGAGUACUCCAUUCUUGUUGAGGCAGAGAACUGACUUGAACGUUGGAGGGUCUUGCUGGAGCAACCCCACCUCCGGUUUAGACUUCUUUUGAAGGUCCCAGCGGCGACCGUGACUCCAGCUUCUCCGGCGUAAGCAGAUUUUUGCACCAACAGGAUUGGCACU
RNAcentral lists this long non-coding RNA (210 nucleotides) under Elaeis guineensis (African oil palm). RNAcentral describes it as "long non-coding RNA (EGUI_LNC073746)". The record is from RNAcentral. Lineage: Eukaryota; Viridiplantae; Streptophyta; Magnoliopsida; Arecales; Arecaceae.